RNAcentral lists this ribosomal RNA (43 nucleotides) under Markea ulei. RNAcentral's name for it is "partial 26S ribosomal RNA". RNAcentral also lists the same sequence under 1 other name. The record is from RNAcentral. Lineage: Eukaryota; Viridiplantae; Streptophyta; Magnoliopsida; Solanales; Solanaceae.
GGCGGGAUUACCCGCUGAGUUUAAGCAUAUCAAUAGGCGGAGG